Molecule: ribosomal RNA, 750 nt
Filed under: uncultured bacterium
Lineage: Bacteria
Description: bacterial SSU rRNA
Rfam family: Bacterial small subunit ribosomal RNA
Source: RNAcentral
GCAGGGGGGGGGUGCUUACCAUGGCAGUCGAACGGAGCACCCCUGAAGGAGUUUUCGGACAACGGAUGGGAAUGCUUAGUGGCGGACUGGUGAGUAACGCGUGAGGAACCUGCCUUCCAGAGGGGGACAACAGUUGGAAACGACUGCUAAUACCGCAUGAUGCGUUGGAGCCGCAUGACUCCGACGUCAAAGAUUUAUCGCUGGAAGAUGGCCUCGCGUCUGAUUAGCUAGUUGGUGAGGUAACGGCCCACCAAGGCGACGAUCAGUAGCCGGACUGAGAGGUUGGCCGGCCACAUUGGGACUGAGAUACGGCCCAGACUCCUACGGGAGGCAGCAGUGGGGAAUAUUGGGCAAUGGACGCAAGUCUGACCCAGCAACGCCGCGUGAAGGAAGAAGGCUUUCGGGUUGUAAACUUCUUUUAAGGGGGAAGAGCAGAAGACGGUACCCCUUGAAUAAGCCACGGCUAACUACGUGCCAGCAGCCGCGGUAAUACGUAGGUGGCAAGCGUUGUCCGGAUUUACUGGGUGUAAAGGGCGUGCAGCCGGAGAGACAAGUCAGAUGUGAAAUCCACGGGCUCAACCCGUGAACUGCAUUUGAAACUGUUUCCCUUGAGUGUCGGAGAGGUAAUCGGAAUUCCUUGUGUAGCGGUGAAAUGCGUAGAUAUAAGGAAGAACACCAGUGGCGAAGGCGGAUUACUGGACGAUAACUGACGGUGAGGCGCGAAAGCGUGGGGAGCAAACAGGAUUAGAU